GUGAGGAAUAUUGGACAAUGGGCGCAAGCCUGAUCCAGCCAUGCCGCGUGCAGGAAGACGCAUCUAUGGUGUGUAAACUGCUUUUGUACGGGAAGAAACACUCCCUCGUGAGGGAGCUUGACGGUACCGUAAGAAUAAGGAUCGGCUAACUCCGUGCCAGCAGCCGCGGUAAUACGGAGGAUCCAAGCGUUAUCCGGAAUCAUUGGGUUUAAAGGGUCCGUAGGCGGUUUAAUAAGUCAGUGGUGAAAGCCCAUCGCUCAACGAUGGAACGGCCAUUGAUACUGUUAGACUUGAAUUACAAGGAAGUAACUAGAAUAUGUAGUGUAGCGGUGAAAUGCUUAGAUAUUACAUGGAAUACCAAUUGCGAAGGCAGGUUACUACUUGUGGAUUGACGCUGAUGGACGAAAGCGUGGGGAGCGAACAGGAUUAGAAACCCCGGUAGUCA
Molecule: ribosomal RNA, 445 nt
Filed under: uncultured bacterium
Lineage: Bacteria
Description: partial 16S ribosomal RNA
Rfam family: Bacterial small subunit ribosomal RNA
Source: RNAcentral